Molecule: ribosomal RNA, 774 nt
Filed under: uncultured Neocallimastigales
Lineage: Eukaryota; Fungi; Neocallimastigomycota; Neocallimastigomycetes; Neocallimastigales
Description: partial large subunit ribosomal RNA
Rfam family: Eukaryotic large subunit ribosomal RNA
Source: RNAcentral
AUGUGAUCGUCUCUCGCAUAUCAAUAAGCGGAGGAAAAGAAACUAACAAGGAUUCCCCUAGUAACGGCGAGUGAAGCGGGAAGAGCUCAAAUUUGAAAUCUUAAAGGGUUUCCCUUUACGAAUUGUAGUUUAAAGAAGUGUUUUCUGUUGAGGUUUUGGUAAAAGUUCUUUGGAAUGGGACAUCAUAGAGGGUGAGAAUCCCGUAUUUGACCUUUACUUUCAACUUUGUGAUACACCUUCAAAGAGUCGGAUUGUUUGGGAAUGCAGUCCAAAAUGGGUGGUAAAUUUCAUCUAAAGCUAAAUAUUGGCGAGAGACCGAUAGCGAACAAGUACCGUGAGGGAAAGAUGAAAAGAACUUUGAAAAGAGAGUUAAACAGUACGUGAAAUUGUCAGAAGGGAAGCGUUUGACACCAGUGUUGUUUUUCUGAAAAUCAAUUAAAGAACUGUUUAUGCUAAGCUGUUUAGACUUUAUCAGCUAUACUGUUUAGUUUUGAGCUUUUCUUUAAUGCACUUUUCAGUUAACAAGUCAACAUCAAUUUCUUUUGCUGUAAAAAAGCUUGAGGAAGGUGGCUUGAGAUUCGUCUUAAGUGUUUAUAGCCUCUUGCCUAUGCAGUCGGAGAGAUUGAGGUCUGCAGCGUAGAUCCUUCGGGGCUAAAUGCAUUUGUGCUAAGUUAUAGCAUUUUAUAGACAACUUGUUGACUAUGAUUUGUCUUGUAGCUUACUCGCUUAUGUUAUUUUACCUACGCUUAGGAUGUUGACGCGCGUGUGUGCGUG